RNAcentral lists this long non-coding RNA (548 nucleotides) under Bemisia tabaci. RNAcentral's name for it is "lncRNA ENSSSA2NGG006895". Lineage: Eukaryota; Metazoa; Arthropoda; Insecta; Hemiptera; Aleyrodidae. The record is from RNAcentral.
UAGAAUUUGAUUCCUUGUUUCAUACCAAAUCAUCUGUUUUUAUUUUAACUGAAUUGAAUGUUAAAGAUUGACUCAAUUUAAAUUAUUUUUCAGGUUCACUUCAAAUCUACAGAAAAUUGCGACGAGGUCGUAACCGCAGCUGCAUCCGAUCUGACAUCCGAUUUGGAUAAAUUAGAAGCCUCCAUUCAAGAUCGUGUUAAUAGUCUAGAAAAAAACCCUAAGUCAAAUUGAAAGCUAUCAAAAGGAAAUUCAACAACUUCGUCGACUAAGUAUUCAAGUAGAACAAAAGCUGAGGUUGGCCAUGUGUCCAACGCAGUUGGCGCAAGACAGAGACAAAGCAUUGGAAGAACAGAACAUUCCAGGAAGAAAUCUGGAACUUAAAGAUGUAGUACCCACCAAUUUUGCAGAUUUUACUGGGGAAGAACUACAGCAACUCUACUCUGUUUCUCAAGUGAGCAAACAUUUUCACUAAUUCAAUAGGCAAAAGUUUAAGGAAAUCUCUCUCCUUUUUCAAAUGUCUACCACCAAUUUUUGUGACAGAAAUGAUC